Non-coding RNA from Triticum aestivum (bread wheat), 98 nucleotides. The record is from Rfam. Lineage: Eukaryota; Viridiplantae; Streptophyta; Magnoliopsida; Poales; Poaceae.
UCAUUCGGAUUCGCCAUCAUAUGUCCAACCGUGCAUUUGAUAUGCAUAUAUAUGCAUCACGAGCCACAGUUGGGCUGUAUGAUGGCGAUACCGAUUGG